Long non-coding RNA from Triticum dicoccoides, 422 nucleotides. RefSeq lists it as uncharacterized. The record is from RefSeq and is a predicted model, not a curated record. The transcript has 3 exons. Lineage: Eukaryota; Viridiplantae; Streptophyta; Magnoliopsida; Poales; Poaceae.
CUCAUUUGCAGCGAUUAAUUUCCCAGUGCUUCUCAUUGAUGAUUUCAGUACACCGGAAAAGAACCAAUCAUUCUCUAACGAGAGACGAAGAAUCAGGAGUACAAAUGGAGAGAAGAAGCAUUUAGGAAAGGCUUCCCUUGCUUACCAACCACAUGAAACAAGAUGAGCAAGAAGAACUUGAGCUAGAGGCAAAGGUCAACUGACGUGUUUUCUAUGUACCAUGAAGAUAGUAAAACUGAUGCAAUUUUAGUUGCAAUGGUUCUCGGUCAUGUACUAAAAUGGCCAUCUCAUGUUAUGUAACAUUUGAUAUGCAUGCAAGUGGAUCAGAAGGACCCAGAAAAUGGAUACCUUGCUGAAAUCCAUUUUCACCAUUAUAUUCAGAUGUGGGUGUGUAUUGCCAGAUAAAGUUAAUGUUGGCUUUA